This 672-nucleotide long non-coding RNA is filed under the name Homo sapiens (human). RNAcentral describes it as "HSALNT0121215". The record is from RNAcentral. Lineage: Eukaryota; Metazoa; Chordata; Mammalia; Primates; Hominidae.
AGCUGCUUUUCGUCUGUCUUUGAGGUGUGGGGAUGAAGGCCGGGGCAGUCCCUGAGAGUGCAUCGCUGUAGGUCCAGGGUCUCACGGAAUUUUGCAGAACGUUCCAGAGGAGACUGAAUGGGAUCGUCUUAAUUUCUGUCCCCACUUUCGGCCUUUUCUUUUCUUCCACCAGUGUAUUACCUUUGCUCCGCUCAGAGAGAUGUCCUCUAAUAACGCCAGCGACGCAUUGUGCUCCUAGCAGAGGGCACGCACCACCCUCCUGUGUGUUCGCAUAGGUCAAAUACAGGUUUGCUCCUUUGCACAUUUAGCGCUAGUAGGCUCCCUGUGUUCCCAAACUCAGGAAACUCCAGGCAUUGGCAGCCCACUUGCGCAUUCUACAUCAGAUCCUGCCUCACUGGGAGUUGUGGCAGAGGAUGGCCAGACAGACACCAUGGACAGACACCAUGGAGAGGGGCAAUGAACAAAGCUUCAUCUUCUACACACAGAACCAUCUCCUCUUCCCAGUAAAUACAGAAGACAAGACAGAGAGGAGCACAGGAAGGAAGAAGAGCCCCUGGGGAAGCAGUCCAGUCUCUGCAGUUUCCCUCACUGGGGCAGAGGGGCCACCCUCCUUUCUUGUUCCCCAGGAGGCUCCUGGCCGACUUUUCAGGAUUUCACCCAGACUGGAGUGCA